This 590-nucleotide ribosomal RNA is filed under the name Scutare lanuginosa. RNAcentral's name for it is "bacterial SSU rRNA". It matches the Rfam family "Eukaryotic small subunit ribosomal RNA", at positions 41 to 548 of the family's 1831-position model. The record is from RNAcentral. Lineage: Eukaryota; Metazoa; Arthropoda; Insecta; Hemiptera; Eriococcidae.
AGAUUAAGCCAUGCAUGUCUCAGUGCAAGCCGUCCAGUUACGGUGAAACCGCGAAAGGCUCAUUAAAUCAGUUAUGGUUCCUUAGAUUGUACCCACGUUACUUGGAUAACUGUGGUAAUUCUAGAGCUAAUACAUGCCGACCGAGUUCCGACCAGCGCCGGGUGCGGUUCACGCCGUCGCACGGCGUUCGGAAGGAACGCUCUUAUUAGAUCAAAACCGGCCAAGCGGUCGUUCCGCGUUUCGACGCUGUUCGGCCGUAAGUGGCCCGCGCAAAGACUUGACGACUCUGAAUAAUUUCGAGCUGAUCGCACGGUCUCGUACCGGCGACGUAUCUUUCAAAUGUCUGCCUUAUCAACUGUCGACGGUAGGUUCGAUGCCUACCGUGGUGGUAACGGGUAACGGGGAAUCAGGGUUCGAUUCCGGAGAGGGAGCCUGAGAAACGGCUACCACAUCUAAGGAAGGCAGCAGGCGCGCAAAUUACCCACUCCCAGCUCGGGGAGGUAGUGACGAAAAAUAACGAUACGGGACUCAUCCGAGGCCUCGUAAUCGGAAUGAGUACACUUUAAAACCUUGGUCACACGAGGAUCAAU